RNAcentral lists this ribosomal RNA (474 nucleotides) under uncultured bacterium. RNAcentral describes it as "bacterial SSU rRNA". It matches the Rfam family "Bacterial small subunit ribosomal RNA", at positions 28 to 507 of the family's 1533-position model. The record is from RNAcentral.
GACGAACGCUGGCGGCGUGCUUAACACAUGCAAGUCGAACGCUGAAGCUUGGUGCUUGCACUGGGUGGAUGAGUGGCGAACGGGUGAGUAAUACGUGAGUAACCUGCCCUUGACUCUGGGAUAAGCCUGGGGAAACUGGGGUCUAAUACUGGAUACGACAUGUCAUCGCAUGGUGGUGUGUGGAAAGGGUUUUACUGGUUUUGGAUGGGCUCACGGCCUAUCAGCUUGUUGGUGGGGUAAUGGCUCACCAAGGCGACGACGGGUAGCCGGCCUGAGAGGGUGACCGGCCACACUGGGACUGAGACACGGCCCAGACUCCUACGGGAGGCAGCAGUGGGGAAUAUUGCACAAUGGGCGGAAGCCUGAUGCAGCGACGCCGCGUGAGGGAUGACGGCCUUCGGGUUGUAAACCUCUUUCAGCACGGAAGAAGCGAAAGUGACGGUACGUGCAGAAGAAGCGCCGGCUAACUACGUG